AGCAGCCGCGGUAAUUCCAGCUCCAAUAGCGUAUAUUAAAGUUGCUGCAGUUAAAAAGCUCGUAGUUGAAUUUCGGGACCAAUAUGUCGGUCGUGCCUCGGUACGUACUGGCAUCGUUGGUUUCUCCCUUCUGACGAACCAUGAUGUCAUUUAUUUGGUGUCGUGGGGAAUCAGGACUGUUACUUUGAAAAAAUUAGAGUGUUUAAAGCAGGCUCACGCUUGAAUACGUUAGCAUGGAAUAAUGAAAUAGGACGUUUGAUUCUAUUUUGUUGGUUUCUAGGAUCGACGUAAUGAUUAAUAGGGAUAGUUGGGGGCAUUAGUAUUCAAUUGUCAGAGGUGAAAUUCUUGGAUUUAUUGAAGACUAACUACUGCGAAAGCAUUUGCCAAGGAUGUUUUCAUUAAUCAAGAACGAAAGUUAGAGGUUCGAAGGCGAUCAGAUACCGCCCUAGUUCUAACCAUAAACGAUGCCAACCAGCGAUCAGCCCGAGUUCGAAAAUGACUCGGCUGGC
Molecule: ribosomal RNA, 509 nt
Filed under: uncultured Glomus
Lineage: Eukaryota; Fungi; Glomeromycota; Glomeromycetes; Glomerales; Glomeraceae
Description: bacterial SSU rRNA
Rfam family: Eukaryotic small subunit ribosomal RNA
Source: RNAcentral